RNAcentral lists this ribosomal RNA (253 nucleotides) under uncultured bacterium. Its description in RNAcentral is "partial 16S ribosomal RNA". It matches the Rfam family "Bacterial small subunit ribosomal RNA", at positions 524 to 776 of the family's 1533-position model. The record is from RNAcentral.
UACGAAGGCCCCGAGCGUUAUCCGGAUUUAUUGGGCGUAAAGCGUUAAUCGGUGGCUUGGUACGUAUUCGGUCAAAUCUCGCGGCUCAACCGCGAGACUGCCGAGUAAACCGCCAGGCUCGAGGCCGGAAGAGGCAAGCGGAACUACCGGUGUAGUGGUGAAAUGCGUUCAUAUCGGUAGGAACACCAAAGGCGAAGGCAGCUUGCUAGUACGCGCCUGACACUCAAUAACGAAAGCGUGGGUAGCGAAUGGG